RNAcentral lists this ribosomal RNA (497 nucleotides) under uncultured bacterium. Its description in RNAcentral is "partial 16S ribosomal RNA". It matches the Rfam family "Bacterial small subunit ribosomal RNA", at positions 28 to 507 of the family's 1533-position model. The record is from RNAcentral.
GAUGAACGCUGGCGGCGUGCCUAACACAUGCAAGUCGAGCGAACGGAGGAGAAGCGGGCUUCUCUGGUGUUAGCGGCGGACGGGUGAGAAACACGUGGAUAACCUACCUAUAAGACUGGGAUAACUGAGGGAAACCGUAGCUAAUACCGUAUAAUAUUUUGAACAGCGUGGUGCAAAGGUGAAAGACGGUCUUGCGGUCACUUACAGAUGGAUUCGCGCUGCAUUAGCUAGUUGGUAAGGUAACGGCUUUCCAAGGCAACGAUGCAGAGCCGACCUGAGAGGGUGAUCGGCCACACUGGGACUGAGACACGGUCCAGACUCCUACGGGAGGCAGCAGUAGGGAAUGUUCCGCAAUGGGCGAAAGCCUGACGCAGCAACGCCGCGUGAGUGAUGAAGGUCUUCGGCUUGUAAAACUCUGUUAUUAGGAAAGAACAUCUGUGUUCGUACCUUUGCGGAUCUUGACGGUACCUGAAGAAAAAGCCCCGGCUAACUACGUG